UACGGGGGGGGUAAGCGUUGUUCGGAAUUACUGGGCGUAAAGGGCUCGUAGGCGGCCAACUAAGUCAUACGUGAAAUCCCUCAGCUUAACUGGGGAACUGCGUGUGAUACUGGAUGGCUUGGAUUUGGGAGAGGGAUGCAGAAUUCCAGGUGUAGCGGUGAAAUGCGUAGAUAUCUGGAGGAACACCGGUGGCGAAGGCGGCAUCCUGGACCAACACUGACACUGAGGAGCGAAAGCCAGGGGAGCAAACGGG
This 253-nucleotide ribosomal RNA is filed under the name uncultured bacterium. RNAcentral describes it as "partial 16S ribosomal RNA". It matches the Rfam family "Bacterial small subunit ribosomal RNA", at positions 524 to 776 of the family's 1533-position model. The record is from RNAcentral.